RNAcentral lists this ribosomal RNA (193 nucleotides) under uncultured bacterium. RNAcentral describes it as "partial 16S ribosomal RNA". It matches the Rfam family "Bacterial small subunit ribosomal RNA", at positions 1308 to 1500 of the family's 1533-position model. The record is from RNAcentral.
CAACUCGCCUACAUGAAGUCGGAAUCGCUAGUAAUCGCGGAUCAGCAUGCCGCGGUGAAUACGUUCACGGGCCUUGUACACACCGCCCGUCACACCAUGAGAGUUUGUAACACCCAAAGCCGGUGGGGUAACCUUUUGGAGCCAGCCGUCUAAGGUGGGACAGAUGAUUGGGGUGAAGUCGUAACAAGGUAAC